AUCUCAACUCUCUUUUACAUCUCAAAUCUCUCCCAAAUUUUUCUUAAUUUCCUCUCAAAUUCUCACUCAAAUUUUAUUUCUCUCUAAAUUUUUUUAUUAAAAUUAUUUUAACAUUUUUGUAAAUUAUUUUUUCUAUUAGAAAUUAUUCGGUGUUUUUCCAAAUUAGGAAUGGCAAGAUCUCUAAUCCAUUUUGAUGACAUUUCCAUCAAUCAAUUGCAAACGGUGGAAGAUCAAAUUUUGUAGAUUUAUAUUCGUAAUCUACUUGCUCCUCCAUAACCCUUGAUUGAACCCUACUUGAGAGACGUCAAUUUUUCACACAUAGUCCUUCUAGGUGGGGAUGUAAGUUGGACCCGACACUCAUAAGCGCAUUGGUGGAAAGGUGAAGACUAAGGUGCAUACAUACCAUCUUCCAUGCGGUGGAGGACGUGCAGUUAAAACUCGGAUUCCCAGUGGAUGGGCCGGUAGUGAUUAGGUUAGUUCACGCAAUCAAUUGGAAAGGCAUAUGUGCCGAACUUUUGGAAAGAUUUUGAAGACGAUUUUUGGAGGCAAGAUCGAAAUGGGUUCGUUAAGAAGAAACUUUGAUUGGCUCGAUAAAGAUUUGAUUGAAAUUUAAAGAGAAUAACAUGCUAAGACAUACAUCUUUUUUAUAAUCGGGGUAUCCUAAUACCAGAUAUGUAAUACCCCGUACCCGAGUCCGUUAUCGGAAUUGAACACAAGGUGCACAUAGACUUAACUAUUUUCACAGUCCAUUUAGAAAUUUCCAGACAAGCUGGUUACUGCAUCACUGUCGCCUUAAAAAUCAUAUCUUGAGUUUCAAAGCUCGAAAA
Long non-coding RNA from Gossypium arboreum, 827 nucleotides. RefSeq lists it as uncharacterized. The transcript has 2 exons. The record is from RefSeq and is a predicted model, not a curated record. Lineage: Eukaryota; Viridiplantae; Streptophyta; Magnoliopsida; Malvales; Malvaceae.